RNAcentral lists this long non-coding RNA (3040 nucleotides) under Marmota monax (woodchuck). The record is from RNAcentral. Lineage: Eukaryota; Metazoa; Chordata; Mammalia; Rodentia; Sciuridae.
GUUCGAUCCUCAGCACCACAUACAAACAAGGAUGUUGUGUCCGCUGAUAAAUUAAAUAUUAAAAUUCUCUCUCUCUCUCUCUCUCUCUCUCUCUCUCUUUAAAAAAAAAAAUUAAAAAAAAAAAAGUAGUACUGCCUCUUGGAAACACACCAGUAGACAUAAAAUAAAACCUGCAAGUCUCCUUUCUUCACCUACUCCCAUCCUCUGGAAGUAACCCCUUGUUCACAGUUCUGUAUUCAAGAAUGUUUACAUGCACACACAUUUAUAGAGAAUUUCCCCUGCCUUGAGAAAAAUAAGAUUAUAGCUAGGUAUAUGUACACCCAUAACUCCAGCAACUCUGGAGGCUGAGGCAGAAUGAUCACAAGUUUGAGUUCAGCCUGGGCAAGUUAGCAAGACCCUGUCUCAAAAAAAACGGCUGGGGAUGGAGCUCAGUGAUUGAAUACUCUUGGAGUUAGUCUCCAGGAGGGUUGGGGUGGGGAGAAUUAUAGCCUUCUGCAUUAAAAUGUUUUAAAAAUUGGUUCUUGGAAAGGUUCUGUACAUUCACAUGAUUGAAAAUUUAGAAGAUAUAAAGCAGGGCCUGAGGCUGUAGCUCAGUGGCAGAGCACUUGCCUGGAUGUGUGAGGCAUUGGAUUCUAUCCUUAGCACCACAUAAAAAUAAACAAAGGCAUACUGUCCAUCUAUAGGUAAGAAGAAGAAGCCAAAGCCUUUUCUCCCAGUUCAAUUGCCUUUCCCAGAGAUAGUUGUCAUAUCCUUGUGUUCUCUUGCAGUUUCUAUAUAUACGUGUUCCUACCUCCUCUGCUUUUAUUACUACAUGCAAAUAGUGUUAUACUCUAUUCUCUACCUUUUUUCAACUUGUGAUGUAUCUGAAUGAUGUAGUUCAGGUGCUACCUCAAGCUUGUAUCUGCCUCCUUACUGAAGUGUGAAGCCUCUUAUGUGAACCUAGUGACAUGGAGGUAGACCUCUGCAUGAUGUCCUAGGCUAGUGACUUGCAGCCCUAAUGACUCAAGGGUAGGUCAGCAACCCCUCCUGGCUUAGUUGAGCUGUGGGCAUUUGCUUAUUUUGAGUAUCUGGUUGAACCUGGGAUCCUGUUAGAUCCUGAUGUCAUUUUUCUUUUCAGUUCCCUUGAAGAAAGCCAUCUCAGAGUUAUCUUGUCUGCUGGGGAACUUCCUCAUUGCUGAGAGUGGCAGUUAAAAAAGCUGUUAGUCAUGUGGCCAGGCUCUGAUUUCUACACAGGCAGGCUGAGUUUCAGCAUGGUGUGGAUCCAGGUAGGAAUUGGUCAGCAUUCUGAAUCUUGAGUUGCUGUCUGCCUUGCAGCCUGCUGGGAUGCUCAGUUUAGACAACAUAUAAAGUUUCCUGGAGAUGGGACAAACCCAGGCCUAUGGAAAGAGCAGGAAGGUUAAAGUGUGUGGUACUUUUCAGCAGUGACGAAGGCGUAACCAGGGAGCCGACAUGUUUGCUCUGAUGCCAAGAAUUCCAGGACAAUUUGUUAUCCAGUUAAAGCCAGCGCAGUUGCUACAAAGAAGCCUGCGGCCAGCCCAUCUCCCCUCAUUUCCUUUGCCUUCUUGCCUACCUACUCUUUUCUAGCUCUGUGGAGAAGGCUGUUGACAUUGGAAAUGUCUGCUUGUUUUUAUCAUUCUCUUGUAAGAGAAUAAAGGGCUGGGCUUAGGUCAAACCAUGGCUCUUUUGUGCUGAAGGCGUCAGCUUCCUGAAAGGCUUCAUAAAUGCUGACUUUUCUCACAGAGAAACGUAGUUGAAGAGUCAGGUUAAUCUGCUUAAGGAAAUGCUAGAAAGAAUAAUUUUGCAGACAGCCUGUUCUAAAGACAUCAAUUGCCCUUCUCCCUUAAAAUGUUUUUAAUUGGACAAAGGAAAUAAAAUCUGGCCUCUCUGAUCUACAGAGGCCUAUGUAGUUAUGGGGCUGCUGACCUGCAACAUUAUAGGCAGGUGUGUGAAUGUGCUACGAGUCUUGGCCAUGUACUGCUGCCCAACUUGUUUUUGUGAUGAUUGUUAUCUCCGGCCUUCUUUCAGGAGCAAAGGGUGGGAGAAAUAGAUUUCAGUGGGUCAGAAUACUUAAUAGUGGUCAUUAACUUCUAGAAAUGUAGUUCGGGGCCCAUUGUUUAAACUUCCCUGGUGCCAAGGCGAGAUGAGGAGUCUGUUCUUCUGUCACAGGCACGCAUGCAUUACACAGAUGGCCUGGUGUUUGAUGUAAAACUUGUGUUUGUAUGCAUUGUGUGUCUCUUCUGUACACACACACACACACACAUGUAUUUGUGUACUGCUUUCUUUCACUUAGUACCACGUUUUUCCUGUAUUAUUGCAUACUUUGUAAAUGCCAAUUUUAAUAGCAGCCUACUGUUCUGUUCUGAGUUUACUUCUCCCCUGUGAAGAUGUUUGUUUUGCAAAGGAUUGUUCUAGGUCCUAUUUAUAGGGCAGAGUUGUCUGUAUUUGCAUCCCCCUGAUGUGUCAUGUCUGUAUCUAAAUUUUAAAUGGCUGUGUUCUAACCAUUACCAGUUCAGCUUUGUAAUUAAAAUAUAUGCUCAAAAGGAAAUACAAACCCCUCCCUAAAGCAUAGUCAAUGACAUUAUUCUGGCAUAUGCUCUUGCAAAAUGGAGAGUUCCUUCUGGCUGAUGUGAUGUUAGCAUUACUGGCACCUGUGCCCAGUGAAAAAAUACAUUGGCACUUAGCAAAACCUUUCUGGAGAAAAUUGUAGUUCUGUUAUUUUAAAGUCUUCCAAGUCUACAUUUUCAAAUAGGCUCACCCAGUGGAUUUGUUAUCUCUGAACCUUCAUGUCCAAUUUUUUUGGGUGGGGGGUGCUGGGGACCGAAUUCAGGGCCUCAUCCUUGCUAGGCAAACUCUACUACUGAGCCAUAUCCUUGGCCCUCCAGGUCAGAUUUGAAAGGAGAAAGUAUGUUGUCCCACUUACUCUAGCUGGGCUUGUGUGUGUCUUGGGAAGAGCAAGGGUGGGGCUGGUAUGGUGAUGCAGGCCUAUAAUCCCAGUCAGUCUUAGGCUGAAGCAGGAGGAUCACAAGUUUGGGGCCAGCCU